CCUACGGGUGGCUGCAGUGGGGAAUAUUGGACAAUGGGGGCAACCCUGAUCCAGCCAUGCCGCGUGUGUGAAGAAGGCCCUCGGGUUGUAAAGCACUUUCAGUGAGGAAGAACGCCUGGUGGUUAAUACCCAUCAGGAAAGACAUCACUCACAGAAGAAGCACCGGCUAACUCCGUGCCAGCAGCCGCGGUAAUACGGAGGGUGCGAGCGUUAAUCGGAAUUACUGGGCGUAAAGCGCGCGUAGGUGGCUUGAUAAGCCGGUUGUGAAAGCCCGGGGCUCAACCUGGGAACGGCAUCCGGAACUGUCAAGCUAGAGUGCAGGAGAGGAAGGUAGAAUUCCCGGUGUAGCGGUGAAAUGCGUAGAGAUCGGGAGGAAUACCAGUGGCGAAGGCGGCCUUCUGGACUGACACUGACACUGAGGUGCGAAAGCGUGGGUAGCAAACAGGAUUAGAUACCCGAGUAGUC
RNAcentral lists this ribosomal RNA (465 nucleotides) under Vreelandella stevensii. RNAcentral describes it as "partial 16S ribosomal RNA". It matches the Rfam family "Bacterial small subunit ribosomal RNA", at positions 338 to 795 of the family's 1533-position model. The record is from RNAcentral. Lineage: Bacteria; Pseudomonadati; Pseudomonadota; Gammaproteobacteria; Oceanospirillales; Halomonadaceae.